Long non-coding RNA from Lagenorhynchus albirostris (white-beaked dolphin), 522 nucleotides. RefSeq lists it as uncharacterized. The record is from RefSeq and is a predicted model, not a curated record. The transcript is spliced from 5 exons. Lineage: Eukaryota; Metazoa; Chordata; Mammalia; Artiodactyla; Delphinidae.
CCUGCCACAUGUCAUGCAGUGCUUAUUUCUUCGGCAGGUUUUAUAUUCUCUGGUGUCAUUCAGCAAUUUCAUGAGAGCGAGACAAUGGAUUGAGAAGCAAUAAAGGAAAUUCUUCCCGUUCUUUAAGGGGCCUUCGGGGAUUCCAAGAACGACUUCUCAGAAGCCAUAUUUACACCCGACCCAAGAAGGAAAGGCCUGCAGUGUCUAAGGUAGUUACAAAACGUCUGUGUGAUUACAGUGAGAUAAGGAAACCAGGACCCAUGGAGGUCAAGGUCUAUGGACUGUGGUUUUGUGUGUCUUCCUUUCUCUGUGAUGACCCCACAGGAACCGAUUCCAACAAAGUUAGCUGCAGAUUCAUCUCCCACUUUGCUUAUGAUGAAAAGAUUGUUUGAACCUUCUUACCAGGCUCUGGAAUAUUAUUCCAUGAAGAAACUGAAGCCCAUAAAGAUUAUGCAAGGUUCCCAUGGCCACACAUUCAAUGCAAGAGUCAGAAGUUGAACCCAAGUAUCCCAAGGCAAGAGC